GAUGAACGCUGGCGGCGUGCCUAAUACAUGCAAGUCGAGCGAACAGACGAGGAGCUUGCUCCUCUGACGUUAGCGGCGGACGGGUGAGUAACACGUGGAUAACCUACCUAUAAGACUGGGAUAACUUCGGGAAACCGGAGCUAAUACCGGAUAACAUGUUGAACCGCAUGGUUCAACAGUGAAAGACGGUCUUGCUGUCACUUAUAGAUGGAUCCGCGCCGCAUUAGCUAGUUGGUAAGGUAACGGCUUACCAAGGCAACGAUGCGUAGCCGACCUGAGAGGGUGAUCGGCCACACUGGAACUGAGACCCGGUCCAGACUCCUACGGGAGGCAGCAGUAGGGAAUCUUCCGCAAUGGGCGAAAGCCUGACGGAGCAACGCCGCGUGAGUGAAGAAGGUCUUCGGAUCGUAAAACUCUGUUAUUAGGGAAGAACAAAUGUGUAAGUAACUAUGCACGUCUUGACGGUACCUAAUCAGAAAGCCACGGCUAACUACGUG
RNAcentral lists this ribosomal RNA (497 nucleotides) under uncultured bacterium. RNAcentral's name for it is "partial 16S ribosomal RNA". It matches the Rfam family "Bacterial small subunit ribosomal RNA", at positions 28 to 507 of the family's 1533-position model. The record is from RNAcentral.